RNAcentral lists this transfer RNA (86 nucleotides) under pig gut metagenome. It matches the Rfam family "tRNA". From Rfam's summary of the family: Transfer RNA (tRNA) molecules are approximately 80 nucleotides in length. Their secondary structure includes four short double-helical elements and three loops (D, anti-codon, and T loops). The record is from RNAcentral.
GAAAGGUGGCAGAGUGGUCGAAUGCGGCAGACUCGAAAUCUGUUAUAGGACCUGUUCCUAUCAAGGGUUCAAAUCCCUUCCUUUCC